GUUAAUGCAUCGGAAUUGAGUUGUCUUUACCUUUUUUGGUUAAGUAACUUAAGAUUAUGUACGAUUUUUUGAACGUAUUUAAAUUAUUUUACGUAUGUUCAUAAUAUCAAAUAUUAGGUGUGGUCAUCCUAUGAUUCACAUCUAUAAUUUUUCAUUAUUUGACCUCAAAUCAGGUAAGAGUACCCGCUGAACUUAAGCAUAUCAAUAAGCGGAGGAAAAGAAAAUAACAAUGAUUCCCUUAGUAACGCGAGUGAAGGGGGAUAAGCUCAAAUUUUAAAUCUGCUAGGUUUUACUUAUCAGAGUUGUAAUUUGAAGAAGCGUUUUCCGCGUCUCGGUUGACCCAAAUCCUUUGGGAUAAGGUAUCAUGGAGGGUGAGAAUCCCGUUCGGUUGACCUUAUGACGCUUUACGAUACGUUUUCAAAGAGUCGAGUUGUUUGGGAUUGCAGCUCAAAAUGGGAGGUAAAUUUCUCCUAAGGCUAAAUAUUGGCGAGAGACCGAUAGCGAACAAGUACCGUGAGGGAAAGAUGAAAAGAACUUUGAAAAGAGAGUAAAAUAGUACGUGAAAUUGUUGAAAGGGAAACGAUUGAAG
This 589-nucleotide ribosomal RNA is filed under the name Glomeraceae sp. BBM S5. RNAcentral describes it as "eukaryotic LSU rRNA". The stretch from base 160 to 589 matches the Rfam family "Eukaryotic large subunit ribosomal RNA", at positions 1 to 428 of the family's 3401-position model. The record is from RNAcentral. Lineage: Eukaryota; Fungi; Glomeromycota; Glomeromycetes; Glomerales; Glomeraceae.